This 305-nucleotide ribosomal RNA is filed under the name uncultured bacterium. RNAcentral's name for it is "bacterial SSU rRNA". It matches the Rfam family "Bacterial small subunit ribosomal RNA", at positions 331 to 638 of the family's 1533-position model. The record is from RNAcentral.
UCGUACCUACGGCGCAGCAGUGAGGAAUAUUGAUCAAUGGUCGGGAGACUGAACCAGCCAAGCCGCGUGAGGGAUGAAGGUACAGAGUAUCGUAAACCUCUUUUGUCAGGGAACAAAGGCGGGGACGCGUCCCCGGAUGAGUGUACCUGAAGAAAAAGCAUCGGCUAACUCCGUGCCAGCAGCCGCGGUAAUACGGAGGAUGCGAGCGUUAUCCGGAUUUAUUGGGUUUAAAGGGUGCGCAGGCGGUCUGUUAAGUCAGCGGUCAAAGCCCGGGGCUCAAACCCGGCCCGCCGUUGAAACCGGCG